This is a long non-coding RNA of Symphalangus syndactylus (siamang), 955 nucleotides long. RefSeq lists it as uncharacterized. Lineage: Eukaryota; Metazoa; Chordata; Mammalia; Primates; Hylobatidae. The record is from RefSeq and is a predicted model, not a curated record.
AGGUGAGGCGGCACGGCUCAGAGCUUCCGCCCGGGUUUGCGGGAACAAAGGAGCGCCCGGCGGAAGGGAUCCCUAGUGAACUCAGAAGUUAGUUUUCGUCUCUGGACCUUUUUAUAAUCGGACUUCAGCCCAUCACUCUCUCGUUUUGUCUUCAGAAACGGCGACAGCAGCCUCUUCCCAAUGUUGAGAGCAAAAAGUGUGAACCCAGAAAUUCCGAGACAGAUCUCAAUUACUUGCCAAGGUUGAGGACGCGCGCGUGACAGCCUCAGGAAGUCCUCACGACAUGUGCCCAAGGUGGUCGGGGCACAGCUUAGUUUUACACGUUUUAUGGAGACAGGAGACAUCAAUAAAUGUAUGUAAGAAGAACAUUGGUUCUGUCUGGAAAGGCAGGACAACUUGAAGCAAAGGCAGGAAGACGUGAAGCAGGAAGGGGGCUUCCAAGAAACAGAAGGAUAGAUGCGACAGAGCAGGACUCCUUCCUCCAUGGAAUGUGCUGAUUUCAGACGACGUGGCACCCAGUGUAGAAAACGCUGGAAUUUUUCCUUGGAACUGGACUGUGAUGAGAGGUGCUUGCCAUGAACAUAAGCUACUGUCUUUUCUUUUUUUGAGAUGGAGUUUCGCUCUUGUUGCCCAGGCUGGAGUGUAAUGGCACGGUCUUGGCUCACUGCAACCUCCGCCUCCCAGGUUUGAGUGAUUCUCCUACCUUAGCCUCCCGAGUAGCUGGGAUUACAGGCAUGCGCCACCAUGCCCAGCUAAUUUUUGUAUUUUUAGUAGAGACAGUGUUUCUCCAUGUUGGUCAGGCUGGUCUCAAACUCCCGACCUCAGAUGAUACACCUGCCUCCGCCUCCCAAAGUUUUGGGAUUACAGGAGUGAGACAUGGCGCCCAGCAAGCUACUGUCUUUUCUUUGACCCUUUCCAGUUUUUGAAAAUAAAGCAGGAAAUAAUCUUCUCUGAA